GGGCAACAUGGGAAGAUCAGGUCCUCCAGGACCACAAGGACCCCCAGGGGAAGGUAUUCAGGGACCCAAAGGUGAUCAGGGGGCUCCUGGAGUGACAGGGCCGAGGGGCCCAUCGGGAGAGGGACUUCCAGGCUCCAAGGGUGAUCGUGGUUUGCAGGGCGAGAGGGGCUUUAAAGGAAUGAAAGGUGACAUGGGUG
Long non-coding RNA from Sinocyclocheilus grahami, 197 nucleotides. RefSeq lists it as uncharacterized. The record is from RefSeq and is a predicted model, not a curated record. The transcript is spliced from 3 exons. Lineage: Eukaryota; Metazoa; Chordata; Actinopteri; Cypriniformes; Cyprinidae.